Molecule: RNA transcript, 2576 nt
Organism: Papaver somniferum (opium poppy)
Lineage: Eukaryota; Viridiplantae; Streptophyta; Magnoliopsida; Ranunculales; Papaveraceae
Gene name: ras-related protein Rab-1B-like
Exons: 4
Source: RefSeq, a predicted model, not a curated record
UUUGGUUUUAUUGUUAGCCGCAUGUGCACCACGUAGCUGAACCCUAAAAAAAAGAAGAAAACCCCUUUUCAUCUUCUUUCUUCUUCUUAUCAAUUUGAGAUCACACCAUAAACAAAGAAAAAGAGGGUAUUUUUCUUUUGUUGUAAUCAGCCAUGAAUUCGGAAUAUUGAGUAUUCUUAACAGAUUUACUCCUCUUCGGCUACAACUUGUUUUUCUUUGUUUGUCUGUUCAAACUCUUGCUUAUCGAAGAUUCUGGUGGCGGUAAAUCAUGUGUGCUUCUCAGGAAGAUUAUUGUUUCAAGUGCUGGACAAUCUAAGUUCCUUCGGAUAUCACUAGUUGACAAAGUUCUUUCAGUGGGACACUGGUGGACAAGAACGUUUCCGAACAAUCACCAGCAGUUACUGCGUUGGAGUACACGGCACUAUAGUAAGUUUCAUGUAAGCAGUGUAUGUGGGUGCCAAUGUUGGUAAAUACUAUAUUUCCGAGGUUCGAAUGUAUGAGUUAGUGUAGGCAAGGUCUAUUGAAACUCCUUAUUUUCAGUCUUUACAAUGUAUGUGUGGAAGAGAAAUUUAUUUAACUGUGAAGUAAGGUGUUUCAGUAGCCCGGAACACAAAACCAAGAGAAUCUAUGGCGGAGCCAGCAUAUGUAAUGGGGGUUAAUUGCCUCCAAUGGCUGCUUCCUUCCAUUGCUUAUUUAACCUUCUAAGGCUUGAUUCAAGGGAAUAUAUGAACAAAGAAGACAUCUAAGCUUUAGAAGGUCAAAAUAAGCUUGGUGGGCCAGCAGCCAUGGGAGGCAAUUGCACAUGCCCUGUGUUGGCUCUGCCGCUGGUGCAGCUGGUUUAGUCAAUUUUCAGUUUGUAGAUCUACCCAUCAAAAGUGAUAUCUUUGUAAAAUACUAACCAGGAACUUAUCAAACCCGAAAAAUUAUACCUAAAUUAUAGAAGAAUCUGAAGAGUCCGCUAUGAAAGUUUUGAGGAGUUGUAUUGUUCAGGUAUGCUAUGUGAGUUCAUGUAUCGUGUUUUUGAUAUGGGUAGGAAAGUGUAUUGGGUAUAAAGCGGAGGGCAAUCACCAAUUUUUAUUUUUAUUUUUAUUUUUGUGUGUAGGGAAAUUGAACUUUUCUUGCUUGAUUUACCAAAUUUAGGAUGAUAUUUCUUUCUUUGAAUUGUACAGAAAUGAAUUGUACAGAAAAGUUGUUCUCUUAUAAAAAUGAAAUUGUAGUUAUGGUCAUUGACAGGGUUGAAGCUAUAAACAGAUAAAGUCGUACAAAAAUGAAAAUCGUGAGGAGAAGAAAAUUCUCCGUACUUUUUAUGUGAAACUGGAUUUUCUUCUCCCACAAUUGCAUUUUCUUCUUCGGUACGACUUUAAUUAUUAUUAUACAUGUAUGGUGGUAGUGGUAGACAAUUUCAACUGUGAAGUAAGGUGGUGUUUCAGUAGCCUGAAAAACUAGGAGCAGAGGCGGAGCCAGCACAUGUCACGGGGUUAAUUUCCCAUGGCCCCCAUUUGGCUGCUUCCUCCCAAUGCCUAUUUUGCCUUUUAGGGGUUGAUUUUUGGUCGAUCCUUGGCUAGUUUUCUUUUCUUCAUCAACUUAAACCCCAAUUCAAGGGAAUAUAUGAACAAAGAAGGCAUCUAGCUUUUAUAAGGUCAAAAUAGGCUUGGGAGGCCAUUGCCCAUGGCCUAUGUUGGCUCAGCCUCUGGUUCAACUGGUUUUGAGUUUAGUGAAAUUUUGAAUUCCAGAAAAACAGUUUCGAAACUUUUGAAUUUUGUUUUUAUCUUAGGCUUAGCUAAUGUGUUGGUUGAAUUUGCUUACCAAAAUGUUCUCUUUUUAAAAUUUGUAAUAUACUUAUCAGGAACCUAUUAAACUCGAACUAUAAUUAGAACAGUAAUGCUAAGUUGACUGUGGAAAUCUCCCCGGGAAAAUCCUGGGAGACAGCCCUGGGGCCCAUCUGGAGAAAAAAGGGGUUCCAGUAGGGUCGUGUCUUCUCCAGAUGGGUCCCAGGGGCUGUGUCUCCCAGGAAAAUUCCCACGGUAUAUAAGGAAUUAUUGUAAUUAGAAUUGGUUUUUGGAUCUUAAAAGAAUUAAAAAAAAAAUUGACUUGUCAAAUGCAAUAUUUUGUUUGAAUUUGUUGUGCUUUAAUAUUGUAUUGUGCCAAGAUGAUACUAAUGUUCUAGGAACUGGCGAUUUGGGUGACAAGCUGAUCAUUAAAGCUGGUUCUCUUUCAGCAUCAGGGAAAGAAAAGCUUGAAGUUGUUGGUUGCACUAUUUCUCCUCAUCAAUACACUUUGGUUAGUUGAAGACUUGUACUUGUCAGGAAUGCUGCCACAGCUGUCUCUCCACUUUCAGGGAUCCUGCUGGGUUUGCAUGGUUGUUUUUUAGCAAAAUUUGUGAUGUUAACAAUCAAAUGAAGCUCUCUAUUUUAGCACUUCCAAAUGUUGCUAUGGUUGUGGUCGAUGUGUUUUGUUUGUACAGUAAUUGGUUGGUCAUUAUUGUUUCUUGGAUUCCAAAGGAUUAUGAAUAGGGUGGUCUUGGGUUUUGAGACCUAGAAAUGCUUUAAUAAAGCUUUCAUUAGACUAUGUGCUAA